This is a long non-coding RNA of Oncorhynchus tshawytscha (Chinook salmon), 1304 nucleotides long. The record is from Ensembl. NCBI's taxonomy places the organism in Eukaryota, Metazoa, Chordata, Actinopteri, Salmoniformes, Salmonidae.
CGGGACUGGUAACAGACUACAGCAUAUCGGGACUGGUAACAGACUAUAGCAUAUAGGGACUGGUAACAGACUACAGUUUAUAGAACCUGGUAGAGUUAAGAAAAUAUUUAUAAAAUAAACUAAAGUAUUUUUUUUAAAUAAAAAGUAACACCAUAAAAUUACAUAACAAUAACAAGGCUAUAUACAAGGGGUACUGGUACAGAGUCAAUGUACGGGGUUACAGGUUAGUCGAGGUCAGUGGGGUACAGGUUAGUCGAGGUAGGUGGGGUACAGGUUAGUCGAGGUCAGUGGGGUACUGGUACAGAGUCAAUGUACGGGGUUACAGGUUAGUCGAGGUCAGUGGGGUACAGGUUAGUCGAGGUAGGUGGGGUACAGGUUAGUCGAGGUCAGUGGGGUACUGGUACAGAGUCAAUGUACGGGGUUACAGGUUAGUCGAGGUCAGUGGGGUACAGGUUAGUCGAGGUAGGUGGGGUACAGGUUAGUCGAGGUCAGUGGGGUACUGGUACAGAGUCAAUGUACGGGGUUAAAGGUUAGUCGAGGUCAGUGGGGUACAGGUUAGUCAAGGUAGGUGGGGUACAGGUUAGUCGAGGUCAGUGGGGUACUGGUACAGAGUCAAUGUACGGGGUUAUAGGUUAGUCGAGGUCAGUGGGGUACAGGUUAGUCGAGGUAGGUGGGGUACAGGUUAGUCGAGGUAGGUGGGGUACAGGUUAGUCGAGGUAGGUGGGGUACAGGUUAGUCGAGGUCGGUAGGGGUACAGGUUAGUCGAGGUUAGGUGGGGUACAGGUUAGUCGAGGUAGGUAGGGGUACAGGUUAGUCGAGGUCGGUAGGGGUACAGGUUAGUCAAUAUGUGGGGGUACAGGUUAGUCGAGGUCAGUAGGGGUACAGGUUAGUCGAGGUAGGUAGGGGUACAGGUUAGUCGAGGUAGGUAGGGUACAGGUUAGUCGAGGUAGGUGGGGUACAGGUUAGUCGAGGUCGGUAGGGGUACAGGUUAGUCAAUAUGUGGGGGUACAGGUUAGUCGAGGUCGGUAGGGGUACAGGUUAGUCGAGGUAGGUAGGGGUACAGGUUAGUCGAGGUAGGUAGGGUACAGGUUAGUCGAGGUAGAUGGGGUACAGGUUAGUCGAGUUAGGUGGGGUACAGCAUAGUCGAGGUAGGUAGGGGUACAGGUUAGUCGAGGUCGGUAGGGGUAUAGGUUAGUCAAUGUGUGGGGGUACAGGUUAGUCAAGGUCGGUAGGGGUACAGGUUAGUCAAUGUGCGGGGGUACAGGUUAGUCGAGGUCGGUAGGGGUACAGGUUAGUCAAUGUGC